This 468-nucleotide ribosomal RNA is filed under the name uncultured bacterium. Its description in RNAcentral is "partial 16S ribosomal RNA". It matches the Rfam family "Bacterial small subunit ribosomal RNA", at positions 28 to 507 of the family's 1533-position model. The record is from RNAcentral.
GACGAACGCUGGCGGCGUGCUUAACACAUGCAAGUCGAACGGAAAGGCCCUGCUUUUGUGGGUUGCUCGAGUGGCGAACGGGUGAGUAACACGUGAGUAACCUGCCCUUGACUUUGGGAUAACUUCAGGAAACUGGGGCUAAUACCGGAUAGGAUCUCCUGCUGCAUGGUGUGGGUUGGAAAGUUUCGGCGGUUGGGGAUGGACUCGCGGCUUAUCCGCUUGUUUGUGGGGUAGUGGCUUACCAAGGCUUUGACGGGUAGCCGGCCUGAGAGGGUUACCGGCGACAAGGGGACUGAGAUACGGACCAGACUCCUACGGGAGGCAGCAGUGGGGAAUAUGGCACAAUGGGGGGAAGUCUGAGGCAGAAACGCCGCGUGCGGGAUGACGGCCUUCGGGUUGUAAACCGCUUUCGCCUGUGACGAAGCGUGAGUGACGGUAAUGGGUAAAGAAGCACCGGCUAACUACGUG